UCAGGCAUCAAACAACAGUUGGAAAAGUUUCACAAAGUAAACAAUGGUAGAACCAGAGCAGAGUAAACAAAGCGCAGAGCAAUAACCAAAAAUAGAGAAAAAACAAGCAUGCAGCAAGCAAGGAAAGAAGCCCUCGGCGCAACUAGAAAGACCACCGGCAACAACAACUAGAGACAGGAAAAGCCGCAGAACCCAACCAGAACACGGCCAACAGGAGCGAUACUCACUGAACGCAUUGGUGUAAUCCCGAUAUGAUGACGUCACUUGCCAUAAAAUUCCUUCUCAGUCACUCACUGAAACCAUAACCCUCAAUGCAGGUCCAAUAUGCAACUCCCUCCCAGUGAAACUAAAAUCUUGAAAACAGCAAAAUAAAACACCGCAAAACAAAAGGCAGAAGAAAACGACACCAUCUCGUCGAGGGAGAAGACUGAAGGGAUGAGACACCCUAAAACAAAAAAAGGCCUAAAAAAAGCUCCCCUCCCAUGCCUAUAAGCAGGGGAGACGAAACCAAUCCCAACAGAGACGAAAGCAAAAUCAAAUCGGUACUCAAACAAAGCCUUUGGUCUAUCGUUCAAUGAUC
Molecule: long non-coding RNA, 580 nt
Filed under: Manihot esculenta (cassava)
Lineage: Eukaryota; Viridiplantae; Streptophyta; Magnoliopsida; Malpighiales; Euphorbiaceae
Description: long non-coding RNA (MESC_LNC009934)
Source: RNAcentral